This 411-nucleotide ribosomal RNA is filed under the name Triticum aestivum (bread wheat). RNAcentral describes it as "partial small subunit ribosomal RNA". Lineage: Eukaryota; Viridiplantae; Streptophyta; Magnoliopsida; Poales; Poaceae. The record is from RNAcentral.
AUGGAUACGGCUAUAGAUAGGAUGGCAAGUGCUCUAAUUCUAGUACCAAAAAAUGUACUUCAAUUUGUUGGAAUUGUAGGCAUUGGGAGAGAGCUAACUAGUGCUUUACUACAGAUAUGUAAUUGCUUACCUGCAUGCAUGUGUUGGAGCAGGUGCCCACGUAGAUCACACUUGCUCUUUAGAGAACAAAGAGAUUCAGAUUUGCUUGCAAGAAGUAGCUCUGCCCGCGAUGUGGCUCACCCAUGCCUCGCUCCUUGCCAGCGAGUCACACCAGUUGCGCUACUUGAUCCCAUGGCCCACCACUGCCCCAUGGUGUUAGAUUCUACCAGUAAUAUUCCUCAAGUGUGGUUUGGCACAUCGUCGGGGAAAAGUGUUUCUAUCAUUUUCCAACAGACUUUCCUCCAAAUUUAA